RNAcentral lists this microRNA precursor (190 nucleotides) under Pelobates cultripes (western spadefoot toad). The record is from RNAcentral. Lineage: Eukaryota; Metazoa; Chordata; Amphibia; Anura; Pelobatidae.
GUCAGAAAAGAAUAAAAAGGGGAAGGGGAGAAAAAAAGGAGAGAAAAGGGAAAGAAGCGCUAGUUCUUAAAAAUCUACUCUCUUAUCAUUUAACUUCUCUCUGGGACAUAAAGUCUCAUUUUUAAGAACUAGCGCUUCUUUCCCUUUUCUCUCCUUUUUUUCUCCCCUUCUCCUUCUUAUUCUUUUCCCC